AGGGUUCGAUCAUGCUCAGGAUGAACGCUGGCGGCGUGCCUAAUACAUGCAAGUCGAACGCUUUGUGGUUCAACUGAUUUGAAGAGCUUGCUCAGAUAUGACGAUGGACAUUGCAAAGAGUGGCGAACGGGUGAGUAACACGUGGGAAACCUACCUCUUAGCAGGGGAUAACAUUUGGAAACAGAUGCUAAUACCGUAUAACAAUGACAACCGCAUGGUUGUUAUUUAAAAGAUGGUUCUGCUAUCACUAAGAGAUGGUCCCGCGGUGCAUUAGCUAGUUGGUAAGGUAGUGGCUUACCAAGGCGAUGAUGCAUAGCCGAGUUGAGAGACUGGUCGGCCACAAUGGGACUGAGACACGGCCCAU
Molecule: ribosomal RNA, 364 nt
Filed under: uncultured bacterium
Lineage: Bacteria
Description: bacterial SSU rRNA
Rfam family: Bacterial small subunit ribosomal RNA
Source: RNAcentral